GAUGAACGCUAGCGGCAGGCCUAAUACAUGCAAGUCGAGGGGCAGCAUGACUGUAGCAAUACAGUUGAUGGCGACCGGCAAACGGGUGCGGAACACGUACAGAACCUUCCUUCGAGCGGGGAAUAGCCCAGAGAAAUUUGGAUUAAUACCCCAUAGCAUUACGGAGUGGCAUCACUCUUUAAUUAAAGAUUUAUCACUUG
RNAcentral lists this ribosomal RNA (200 nucleotides) under uncultured bacterium. Its description in RNAcentral is "partial 16S ribosomal RNA". It matches the Rfam family "Bacterial small subunit ribosomal RNA", at positions 28 to 221 of the family's 1533-position model. The record is from RNAcentral.